RNAcentral lists this ribosomal RNA (404 nucleotides) under uncultured euryarchaeote. Its description in RNAcentral is "bacterial SSU rRNA". It matches the Rfam family "Archaeal small subunit ribosomal RNA", at positions 321 to 727 of the family's 1478-position model. Lineage: Archaea; Methanobacteriati; Methanobacteriota. The record is from RNAcentral.
CCCUAUGGGGUGCAGCAGGUAGGAAUCUUUUGCAAUGCGCGCAAGCGUGACAAAGCGAGCCAGAGUGCUUUUCAAUUGAAAAGCUUUUGCCAAAUCUAAAAAUUUUGGCGAAUAAGGACUGGGCAAGACUAGUGCCAGCCGCCGCGGUAAUACUAGCGGUCCAAGUCGCAGCCAUCAUUAUUGGGUCUAAAACAUCCGUAGCUUGCUUAAUAAGUUCCUUGUGAAAUCUUAUCUCUUAAGGAUAAGGCGUGCAAGGGAUACUGCUAAGCUAGAGACUGGAAGACGUAGAAAGUAUGUAUAAAGUAGCGGUAAAAUGUGUUAAUCUUAUGCAGACUCACAAUAGCGAAGGCAUUCUACGAGGACAGUUCUGACAGUAAAGGAUGAAGGCUAGGGGCGCAAAAUGG